This 465-nucleotide ribosomal RNA is filed under the name uncultured bacterium. RNAcentral describes it as "partial 16S ribosomal RNA". It matches the Rfam family "Bacterial small subunit ribosomal RNA", at positions 338 to 795 of the family's 1533-position model. The record is from RNAcentral.
CCUACGGGUGGCAGCAGUGGGGAAUAUUGCACAAUGGGCGAAAGCCUGACGCAGCGACGCCGCGUGAGGGAUGAAGGUCCUCGGAUCGUAAACCUCUGUCAGCAGGGAAGAACGGUCAGUGUGCUAAUCAGCAGUGAAUUGACGGUACCUGCAAAGGAAGCACCGGCUAACUCCGUGCCAGCAGCCAAGGUAAUACGGAGGGUGCGAGCGUGAACCGUGAUUACUGGGCGUAAAGCGCGCGUAGGCGGUAUGUCAAGUCAAGGGUGAAAUCCCCGCGCUCAACGGGGGAACUGCCUUUGAAACUGGCAAACUGGAGUGUGUGAGAGGCUAGUGGAAUUCCUGGUGUAGGAGUGAAAUGCGUAGAUAUUUGGAGGAACAUCAGUGGCGAAGGCGACUAUCUGGACCAUAACUGACGCUGAGGAGCGAAAGCGUGGGUAGCAAACAGGAUUAGAUACCCCAGUAGUC